Non-coding RNA from Ochotona princeps (American pika), 419 nucleotides. RefSeq annotates it as small Cajal body-specific RNA 2. NCBI's taxonomy places the organism in Eukaryota, Metazoa, Chordata, Mammalia, Lagomorpha, Ochotonidae. The transcript has a single exon. The record is from RefSeq and is a predicted model, not a curated record.
CGGUGCGUGGGUGUGUGUGUCCGUGUGUCCGUGUGUCCGUGUGUCCAUGCAGCGCGCGUGGGCCGAGGUGUGAGUGUCCGUGCAGCGCGCGUGGCCGAGGUGUGAGUGUCCGUGUGUGGGGCGUGCGAGGCGGUGAGUGCGCCCGCCCCUGCGCCCUCCCGCCGCCUGCACUUUGAUCUUAUUUGAUCGGGCCGAGACCCCCGCCGCGCCGGCCCGAGAUGAAAAGCUUCCCUCCUGCGAAGACCUGCUUCCGCGGGGCGCUGUGCAGCGAGGCCCCCCCGGGCGGCGGCCGCGCCGCGGUCCCCGAGGCCCCCGGGCCGGUCCCACGGGGCCCGGCGCUCAGAAGUGAUGAAUUGAUCAGAUAGACGAGGCUCCGGGCUUGGCCCGGGCCGAUGAUUACCGAGGCGAUUCUGAUCUGA